AUUGAACGCUGGCGGAAUGCUUUACACAUGCAAGUCGAACGGCAGCACGGACUUCGGUCUGGUGGCGAGUGGCGAACGGGUGAGUAAUGUAUCGGAACGUGCCCAGUCGUGGGGGAUAACGUAGUGAAAAUUACGCUAAUACCGCAUACGAUCUAUGGAUGAAAGCGGGGGAUCGCAAGACCUCGCGCGAUUGGAGCGGCCGAUAUCAGAUUAGGUAGUUGGUGGGGUAAAGGCCCACCAAGCCAACGAUCUGUAGCUGGUCUGAGAGGACGACCAGCCACACGGGAACUGAGACACGGUCCAGACUCCUACGGGAGGCAGCAGUGGGGAAUUUUGGACAAUGGGCGAAAGCCUGAUCCAGCCAUUCCGCGUGCAGGAUGAAGGCCCUCGGGCUGUAAACUGCUUUUGUACAGAACGAAAAGGUUUCUACUAAUACUAGGAGCUCAUGACGGUACUGUAAGAAUAAGCACCGGCUAACUACGUGCCAGCAGCCGCGGUAA
RNAcentral lists this ribosomal RNA (500 nucleotides) under uncultured bacterium. RNAcentral describes it as "partial 16S ribosomal RNA". It matches the Rfam family "Bacterial small subunit ribosomal RNA", at positions 30 to 523 of the family's 1533-position model. The record is from RNAcentral.